ACUCGGUUCUUUGAUACUCCCUC
RNAcentral lists this non-coding RNA (23 nucleotides) under Arabidopsis thaliana (thale cress). The record is from RNAcentral. Lineage: Eukaryota; Viridiplantae; Streptophyta; Magnoliopsida; Brassicales; Brassicaceae.